CAUAAUUUUUUAUCACCCACACAGUCGAAUGCCUUUGCAUAGUCAAUAAAACAGAGGUAAACAUCUUUCCGGUAUUCUCUGCUUUCAGCCAGGAUCCAUCUGACAUCAGCAAUGAUAUCCCUGGUUUCACGUCCUCUUCUGAAUCCAGCUUAAAUUUCUGGUAGUUCUCUGUGCAUAUACUGCUACAGCUGAUCUUCAGCAAAAAUGUACUUGGGUGUGAUAUUAAUGAUACCGUUCGAUAAUUUCUGCAUUCUGUUGGAUCACCUUUCUUGGGAAUAGGCAUAAAGAUGGUCGGCCAGGCAGCUGUCUUCCAAAUUUCUUGGCAUAGACAAGCGAGCACUUCCAGCACUGAAUCUGUUUGUUGAAGCAUCCCAGUUGAUAUUCUGUCCAUUCCUGGAGCCUUGUUUUUUGCCAGAGCCUUCAGUGCAGCUUGGACUCUCUCUCGGCUCUGGAGGAAGGUCCUUCUCCUCAAUCUUCCCAUGGACUGGGAGCUUCUUAGCACAGGAAGCCCGGAUCCAAAGCACCGUUUCUGCUCCCAGUGCUUCUUUCUUGGUGGCAUGAGGUCCCCAUUCUCUGCUGGCUUCCCUUUCUUUUUAUCUCUUGUAAAAAAGAGAAAAAAGGAUAAAAGGUGGUGCAGGCCAACUCCAGAGAAACUUCCUUUACACUGGAUCACGGAUAUGACCUUAGUAAGGGUGUUAUAAUCCCACCCUAAUCCUCUUUACCAUAAAAUUACAAUCACAAAGUAGAGGAUAACCACAAAAUACUGGGAAUCAUGGCCUAACCACGUUGACGCAUCUUUUGGGUGGACACAUUCAAUCCAUGACAUUCUGCCCAAUGGUCUCCAAAAAUUCAUGUCCUUGCUACAUGUAAGACACAUUCACCCUAUCACAUCACAUCACAGCAAAAGCCCUAAAUCAACUCCAAGUCCAAAAUCCACAAAUUCUUCUUUACCUGUGAAAUCUAGAAUACAAGUUUGUUUGCUUCCAAAGUACAAUGGCAAACCAGGCACAAACUAGAUAUUUCCAUUACAAAUGGGAGAAAUUGCAGGGAAAGUAGUGAUGACAGGAGUAAAGAAAGUCUAUAGAAUAUAUUCCAUUAGCCCUCAAGGCUGGAAAAUAAUCCUCUGUUCUCUGAGAGGAUUCACACAAUGGCCCUGCCCUCCAGACUCCAGGUAUUGGUCGCAUUCUCUGGAUUCUGAGUCGAGGCCCCUGGGCCCUGGGCUUUAGCUCCGACUUUCAGGCCCAGGCAAUAAGACUUACCAAAAUAAAAUUAAAAACAUACAUAAAUGGAUGGAAAAGGUAUAAUAUGCAAACACCAAACAAAAGAAUGUUCGACUUGCUUUGCUCAUACCAAAUAACAUAGGUUUCAGAGUAAAAGUAUAUUAGCAUAAACAGACGGAGAAUAAAAACAAUAAAAGGGUUAAUUCACCUAGAAAAUAUAAUAACCCUAUGGCAGCGGAUUUUUUUUUUCUUUUCUUGGUUUAAAAGUCUAUGUCUCUAUUACGAGAGAUUCAAAAUACAAUGAAAAAAAAAAAACUAAUGGGAGGAGGAGCCAAGAUGGCGGACUCGACAGACACAUCCUUGGCGCCCUCUUUACAACAAAGACCCGAAAAAACAAGUGAAAGAGUAUAUUUGUAACAAGCUGGGAGCCUUGAGCAUCAAAGGCAAGCUUAGACAACAAACUGAGGGGUAGGGGAAGGAAGGGACCUUUCAGAAGCGGAGAGGAGUUGCCGGCCCUGAAUCGUGGGGAGCCCUCAGGCACCAUUCCCGGAGCAGCAGAGGUGGCAGCGGCGGGUGGGUCCUAGCGUUUGGCCGCAGUCUCCUCGGGGAGAAGCAGCAGCCACACAGCCCACUCACACCUCCAGAACCUGAACAGAAGGGCACUCUCCGCAAAAGCUAAGUACUUGCGGAUAUUUUACUGAGCCCCCCCACCCCCACGCCAGCUACAGCGGCUGAAUCCCUAGGCCUGAGAUAGACCCUGGUGAGCACCUGGAGCCGUCCUCCUGGCCUUGGGGAAGGAAAAAAAAUGCAACUGGGGGGAAGAGGUAAUUUGCUAGCUCCAUUAACUGGGGAAUCUCAGGACAGAAGCGACUCCCGUCCAGGCAUAAACCGUCUGUGGACCUUGAGCACCUUUCCCUUCUUCAUGGACCUGUGUGGGCCUAUUUCGGGAGAAUAGGCCCUUGUUGGCAAAGUCCAAGCAUUUCAGCGGUGCCGUGGAGAGGUGGGCGUUUGAUGUUUGACAUUGCUUUGCCUAUUAAACAGGGUCCUCACCUACCCACAUCAGGGACCUGAGGACUGGUAGCUCCACUCAGGUCACCCAGCCACCCGCGACAGGGGUCCAAAGAUAACUGGUACCUCCCACUCCUUACAACCUGAAACUUUGGGUGCCCAUGGUCCGUCUGCAGGACCCACCCUCCAGCAUGCUCUAGGGAACAGAGAUGCGUUUUUCUCAGAGACACUUGGGGGUCAGUUCUUAGUCCCCUGCCUUGUUCAGAGCUUGAGCCUCUGCUGCAAUCAGAUACCGGUAUCUACGCCAAUCACCCCUGCCCCUCUAAGACUGCAGGACAGAGCCUGUACCACACACUUGAUGAUCAGCUACCUGGAAACCUGAGCUGAAUUCAUACAAGAAAACUGAAUGGACUCCUAGACUGAUAUACCUGAUAACACAUCUAGCCAGCUGGAGACAGGACACCAGAGUUCCAAAGCUGAAAACAAUCAAGUUAGCUCACUCAAGCAACCCAUAGCGGUAUACCAAAACAAAACAAAGCAAGCAGCUACGACACAGGAAGCAAGCAUAAACUAAGACAAUAACUUAUAGAUGGCUCGGAGACAACAGUCAAUAUCAAGUCAGGUAAAGAAACAGACCAUGAUCACCUCAACAGGCUCUCAGAACAAAGAAUCCAGGGAUCUUCUAGAUGAAAGUGCAUUCCUGGAAUUACCAGAUGCAGAAUACAAAAGUUUAAUACACAGAACACUUUAGGACAUCAGGAAGGAAAUGAGGUAAUACACAGAACGAGCCAAGGAACACACAGAUAAAGCAACUGAAGAAAUUAGAAAGAUUAUUCAGGAACAUUAUGAAAAGUUUUAUAAGCUGGGAAAAUCCAUAGACACACAACAAUAAGGAAUUCAGAAGAUUAACAAUAAAAUUACAGAUUUAGACAACUCCGUGGAAAGUCAGAGGAGCAGAAUUGAGCAAGUAGAAGCUAAAAUUUCUGAACUCGAAGUUAAAUCACUUGGCACUAAUAUAUUUGAAGAAAAAUCAGAUAAAAGAAUUGAGAAAAAUGAAGAAACCUUAAGAAUCAUGUAUGUGGGACUCUAUCAAGAGAAAUAAGCUACGAGUGAUUGGAGUACCAAACAGGGAGGGAUAACAGAAAAUAUAGAGAAAAUUGCUGAAGAUUUGUUGGCAGAAAACUUUCCAGAUGUUGUGAAAGAUGACAGGAUAUCUAUCCAAGAUGCUCAUCGAACUCCACGUAAGGUGGAUGUUAAAAGAAAGUCACCAAGCCAUAUUAUAAUCAAACUUGCCAAAACCAAAGAUGAAGAGAGAACUAUAAGAGCAGUGAGGGAUAAACAAAAAGUCACCUACAAAGACAGCCAAUAAGAAUAACCUCGGACUACUCGGCAGAAACCAUGCAGGCAAGAAGGCAAUGGGAUGAUAAAUUUAAAAAAUGGAAGGAAAAAAAUUGCCUGCAAACAAUCAUAUAUCCAGCAAAACUGUCUCUUAAAUAUGAAGGUAAAAUAAAGACAUUUCCAAAUAAACACAAGUUUAGGGAAUUCCUAAAAACCAAACCAAAACUACACGAAACACUAAAGGGAGUUCUUUGGUUAGAAAAUCAAUAAUAUCAGGUAUCAACCCAAGACUAGAACACUGGGCAGAGCACCCAGAAGUCAACCCAGACAGGGAAAUCCCCCCCCCAAAAACAAAGCAAGAUUAUUUUAAAAAAGCCUAAAACAGGGCAACAGCAAUGUUAUUAUAUAAAAGAAGACAGCAUUAAAAUAAUAAAGAGGGAUUAAGAAAUGUAAUCAUACACCUUCCAUAUGAAGAGGAAGGUACAACAAUGCAAAGAAGUAAAAGUUAGUCUUAAAUUUAGAAAAAUAGGGGUAAAUAAUACGGUAGCCACAAAGGAGACAAACUGUCCUACUCAUCAAAAUAAAAUACAAGGGAAAAAUACAGACUCAGCAGAAACAAUAUCAACAACAACAAAUAUGAGGAAAGGACAAUAUAGAAAGAUAAUCUACUCAGCAUAUAAAAUCAAGUGGGAAAAGAAACUAUGAACAGCACACAAAAAAAGACAUCAAAAUGAUAGUACUAAAUUCAUAAAAAAAAAAAAAACCUACCCAUAAUUACCCUGCAUGUAAAUGGACUAAAUGCACCAAUACAGAGACAGACAGUGGCAGGAUGGAUUGAAAAACAAGAUCCGUCUCUAUGCUGCCUACAAGAGACACACCUUAGACUUAGAGACACACUUAACAUCUACUCAAUGGUAGAAAACUGAAUUAUUUCUGGCAGGAGAGACUCUGAAACCUGCUCUUGAACAUACAGUAGCUACAACAAAAGGAAGAAAUGAUGAAAUAAAAGAACUGAACAGAAGAUUUCAAAGGGCGGUUUGAGACGACAAAGUAUUAUAAGGAAACUUGCAAAGACGAAGAGUUAGAAAAGCGCAAUAGAAGAACACGUUCGGCAUUUCUCAGGGUGAAAGAACUGAAGAAAAACUCAAGUCUCAAGUUCCAAUAUUGAAGGAUUCUAUGGGAAAAAUAUUAAACAAUGCAGGAAGCAUCGAAAGAAGAUGGAUGGAUGGCAUACAGAGUCACUGUUUCAAAAAGAAACAGCCAAUAUCCAAACGUUUCAGGAGGUAGCUAGGCUCAAGAACCUAUGGUACCGAAGGAAGAAGUCCAAGCUGCACUGAAGGCACCGGUGAAAAACAAGGCUCCAGGAACUGACAGAGUACCAGCUGAGAUGUGUCAAUGAACGGAUGCAGCACGGGAAGAGCUCGCUUGUCUAUGCCAAGGAAUUUGGAAGACAGCUACCUGGCCAACCAACUGGAAGAGAUCCACACUUGUGCCCAUUCCAAAGAAAGGCGAUCCAAUAGAAUGUAGAAAUUGUCCAAAAUAUCAUGAAUAUCACACACAGGUAAAAUUUUGCUGAAGAUCAUUCAAAAGCAGUUGCAGCAGUAUAGUGACAGGGAAUUGCCAGAAAUUCAAGCCCAGUUCUGAAGAGUGCGUGGAACGAGGGAUAUCGUUGCUGAUAUCAGAUGGAUCUUGGCUGAAAGCAGAGAAUGCCAAAAAGUCUUUUACCUGUGUUUUAUUGACUAUGCAAAGGCAUUUGACUGUGUGGUUCAUAACAAAUUAUGCACAAUCUUGUGAAGAAUGGGAAUUCCAGAACACUUAAUUGUGCUCAUGAGGAACCUGUGCUCAGACCAAGACGCAGUCAUUAGCACAGAACAAGGGGAUACUAUGAGGUUUUAAGUUGAGAAAGGUGUAUGUUAAGGUUGCAUCCUUUCACCAUAUUUAUUCAAUCUGUAUGGAGGAAAUAAUUCAAGAAGAUAAACUAUAAGAAGAAGAAAGCGGGUAUCAGGAUUGGAAGAAGACUCAUUAACAACCUGCAAUAGGCAGAGGACACAACUUCUCUUGCUGAAAGUGAAGAGGACGUGAAGCAGUCACUGAAGAAAAUCAAUGACCACAGCCUUCACUAUGAAUUACACCACAACACAAAGAAAACAAAAAAUCCUCACAUAUGGAUUAAUAAGCAACAUCAUGGUCGAUGGAGAGAAGAUUGAAGUUGUCAAGGAUGUCUUUAUACUUGGACCCACAAUCCACGCCCAUGGAAGUAGCAGCGAAGAAAUCAAUGACAUAUUGCAUUGGGCAAAUGUACUGCGAAAGCCAUCUUUAAAGUGUUAAAAACCAAAAAUGUCACUUUAAGGACUAAGGUGCGCCUGACCCAGGCCAUGGUAUUUUCAAUCGUCUCAUAUGCAUGCAAAACCUGGAAAAUGAAUGAGGAAGACUGGAGAGGAAUUGAUGCCUUCGAAUUAAGGUCUUGGCCAAGAAUAUUGAAUAUACCAUGGACUGCCACAAGAACGAACAAAUCUGUCUUGGAAGAAGUACAGCCAGAAUGCUCCUUAGAAGGAAGGAUGGUGAGAUUUUCUUACGCACUUUGGACAUGUUAUCAGGAGGCACUGGUCCCUCGAGAAGGACAUCUUGCGUGGUAAAGUAAAGGGUUGGUGAAAAGAGAGAGACCUUUAAGAAGAUGGGUUGACACACUGAGUGCAAUACUAGUCUCAAAGAUAGCAGCCUUUGUGAGGAUGGCGCAGGAUCGGCAGUGUUUCCAUCUGUACAAAGGGGCGCCGUGAGUCAGAAUCCACUGGAUAGCACAUAACAACAAAAACACAAGUAGAUGAGUUGAACUGGGGGAAUCACCACCCUGCAUCCUUCAAGUCUUUGAUGGUGGCAGUUAUCUCUAUAAUUCCUCCAGGAAUGCGGUACUGCUUUUGGUUUACUAUUUUCCUAGAUAGGCAGUUCUAAUGGUUUCCCCUUGGCUUUUCCUACCAUAAUAGCCCUUACUCCACUUGUCUGGAAUCCACAAAGGUAGUUCUGCAAGUUGUUGGGUAUUCCAAUUCCAAUUAUGUGUUUAGGAACUGGGGAAAUCACUACGUGAUGGAUUCAGGGACCCACUGAAUCCACUGUGAAAUGAACCAGAGCUAUGGCUCCAUUAAGAACCUGACUUCCGUACAACCGCUUUCUGACCGGUGGGCCACAGUGACAUCUAGGGUCUCCUGGAUUCAGUGUCAGUUCAGAGGCAGUAUCCAGUAAUUCUUACGCUUGUACAGAUCAAGUAACUACUCGAUAGACUUCCCAUCUAUUUCACUCCUAGGGACACCAUGACUAAGUAGCCAAUGCCAUGAGUCCAUAGGAGUCAGGCUACUCUCAUUACUGCUUUGACUCCACUGUCCAUUAUGUGAACCACACCUACCUUGUUCUUGUCCAUUGAGUCACCCGCAUGGCCCCUAACACCGUGGGGUCCAAUCAGCCCCAUUGUAGUUUGGUGUCUUAAUUCAGUUAGGGCAUCUCCCAUUGUGAGAUCUGACUUCCAUAAAAGAACAAUCACAGCAGUCUUCAAGGAUGCUGGGGCUCCCUUCACAAAUUUAUUCCUCACCAUUGCGGUAAAAGGUGUGUCCUCUGAGCAUUCCAUGUGUGGGUCUGUGGGUCUAAGCCGAGAAAUCCACUCUAACAUGCCAGUUUCCCUAAGCCUUUGGAUACCUUCUUCUACUGUGAAAUCAAGGCGGGUCUGGCACUUCAGCUGGGUUUAGUGUGGGCCACCGCUUAAUCUGUGCUUCACUGAAUCAGUCACAUAAACUAUUAAAUCCUUUCCUAAGCUCUCUAGCUGAAACACUGGAUGAAGGAUCUGUGCUUAGUGGACCCAUAUCAAUGAACUCAGGCUGAGGCAACUUUAUGUUCCUUGCACCAUUAUCCCACACCCAUAAUAGCAAUUCCCACACGUAGUCUCCAGGCUUUUGUUUGUAUGUAUUAGAAAAGUCAAGCAGUUCUUUUUCUUUUGGAGUGUAGUGUACCUCCCCCUGGAUCACAUUUUGUGCUUUACCUUUGAGGAUAGCAGGGACUUCAGUCUAGUUAUAGGCCUAGAAGCAACAAUGGGUGUUGGGAAUGUGUCUGGAGAACAUUCAGCAAUGUCUUGUAAGACAUCUGCCUUAAGGGAUGAUGCCCCAGGCAGUGACUCAGACAUCACCCUAGUGGACGACUGAGACAAAGGCUCUUCAGACACAACUGGGUUAAUCUCAGCAGAUGGGGGUCUGAGGGGCUAACAGUUUUCCUGGGGAGGGUGGUUUAGCAGCCAAACAUGGAGUAAUCCCUUCAGGCGGGAGCUGCUAUUUGGUGAUGGCCUUGCUAUUCCUCAAUGAAACUCAUUUUCUUUCACUCCUAAUAGAGUGUGGGAUUUUGUUCUUCAACAACACAAACAAACAGAAAACAUGACCAGAGCCUUUGCAGCAGCAAAUUAGCUAGGAGAAGAUUAUAAUGUAAUGCUUUCAAGUUCUGAUUUAAAGUAGAAUUCUAACCCAGACAAAAUGUGAGGGCAAUCAAGGCAUUUCCAGACAAGUAAGUAAGAACUUAAACAUCUACUUGCAAGGCAUGCACCUUGAGGAAACUGUUGGAGAAAGGAAAUCAGCACAAAGGACUGAUGAGAAAAAAAAAAAAAAAAAGACUGUUUAGGCAUAGAAAAUAAAAACAGGCAUCUGAUCUGUCUGUAAAGAGACUAAAGUAACUCUAAGCGCUCAAUGUAGUCUUUCACCUUAGGUUUGGCGUUGGCUGUCUAGCAGCUCCAGGUAAGCUUUCCCCCAGGUUCUACCCUCCUUCCCUAGGAAUCAACCCAUCACCAUGAAGGAAAUGAGUUGCUUUGCAGAUCAAGCUAAAGAAUGUGAAGACUUAAGGCAAACUUUUGGUAUCAGCCUCCUCAGGUUUCUGACAUGCCCAGCAAAGUGAGAGAUCAUGGAAACUCCUUGUUUCCAUUCUCAUCUGGAGAGCUAACAUUCUGAGCAACGUGAUUGUUAACCAACCAGUCUUGAGAAUAUCCGUCCUGUGGCUGCUUUGUAACCAAGGUGAAACCCCCUUGACCUCCUGUCUUUCAAUUGUGUCUUGUAGCCAGUCAAUCGACUCACGUAAGCAAUAAUGACAACGAUUGUGCUUUACUUGUCGCGUCUUUGAUUGACCUUCGUCACUGUGAACCAACAAGAAAAACUGUAAUUUUAUUCUCCCCCUUCAGCACUCUGAUUACUCCUGAUUUGCCUUCUUCCCGUGAGAUUCCGGAACGUCAGCCUGAGACUUUGCGAUCUCCCACUGCCACGUCUCCGCUGCAAUAAAUCUCUUUCGAUUUUACCUUAAGGGAGCUGGGAAGUCUUUUCUCUCCAACAUUUUGGCGUAGUUAAUCGGCAGGGUUUUUGGAGUUACCCUUCCCCCGGAGACCCGAAGACCUGAAACACGGGAUUCCGGCACCAAGGGCCCCUUUGUGUGCCCCUCGCUGCAGCUUUUUCGGACCCUUCUGGCUGUCUGGGGGGAGAAGGGAGCAGAGAGACUGGAGGACUUCAUUACCACCAAGCAGAAGAGCCAGGAGCAUUUGCUUUGAACCAGGGGCCCCUGCACUGAGAAGCUGCUAGAUCUGGGGAAGACUGAUGACAAGGACCUUCUCCCAGAGCCAACAGAGAGAGAAAGACUUUCCUAGGAGCUGACGCCCUGAAUUCAGACUUCUAGUCUCCUAGACUGUGAGAGAAUAAAUUACUCUUUGUAAAAGCCAUCCACGUGUGGUAUUUCUGUUGUAACAACACUAGAUGACUCAAAUAAAACAUGGGUAAAGAACUUGAAUAGACAUUGCUCCCAAGAAAAAUAUACAAAUGUCCAAUAACCACAUGAAAGUAUGCUCAAUAUCUUUUGUCAUUGUUGCUGUUGUUGUUAGGUGCCCGUGAGUCAGUCAGUUCCAACUCAUAGUGACCCUACGAACAACAAAAGAAAACACUGCCUGGUCCUAUACCAUCCUCACAACCACUGUUAUGCUUGGGCCCAUUGUUGCAGCCACUCUGACAAUCCAUCUCAUUGAGGGUCUUCUUUCUUGCUAAUCCUCUACUUUAGCAAGCAUGAUGUCCUUUUCCAGGGACUGAUCCCUCCUGAUAACAUGUCCAAAGUAAAUGAGACUUAGUCUUGCCAUCUUAGCCUCCAAGACGCAUUCUGGUUGUACUUCUUCCAAGACAGAUUUCUUUGUCCUUUUGGCAGUCCAUGGUUUAUUCGAUACUGUUUGCCAAAAGCAUAAUUGAAAAGUAUCAAUUCUUCUUUGAUCUUCCUUAUUAAUUGUCCAGCUUUCACAUGCAUAUGAGAAGAUUGAAACACAAUGGCUUGGGUCACACACACCAUAGUCUUCAAGGCAACGUCUUUGCUUUUCAACACUUAAAGAGUGCUCUAAGUUUUUUUUUUUUUUUUUUGCAUCAGAUUUGCCCAGUGCAAUCCGACAUUUGAUUUCUUGACUGCUACUUCCAUGGGUGUUGAUUGUGAAUCCAUGUGAAGCGAAAUCCUUGACAAUUUCAAUCUUUUUUUUUUUUUUAUCAUGAUGUUGCUUAUUGGUCCAUUUGUGAGGAUUUUUGUUGUAUGUUGAGGUGUGAUCAAUCCAUACUGAAGGCUGUGGUCUUUGGUCUUCAUCAGUAAGUGCUUCAAGUACUCUUCACUUUCAGCAAGCAAGGUUGUAUCAUCGGCAUAACACAGGUUGUUAGUGAAUCUUUCUCUAAUACUGAUGCCCCGUGUUUGUUCAUAUACCCCAGAUUCUCAGAUUAUUUGCUCAGCAUACAUAUUGAACAGGUCAGUCGAAAGGAUACAACCCUGACGCACACCUUUACUGACUUUAAACCACACAGCAUCCCUUUGUUCUGUUCGAAUGACUGCCAGUUGCUGUGUGUACAAGUUCUUCAUGAGCACAAUCGACUGUGCCAGAAUUUCGCAUCUUCGCAAAGUUAUCCAUAAUUUUUUAUCACCCACACAGUCGAAUGCCUUUGCAUAGUCAAUAAAACAGAGGUAAACAUCUUUCCGGUAUUCUCUGCUUUCAGCCAGGAUCCAUCUGACAUCAGCAAUGAUAUCCCUGGUUUCACGUCCUCUUCUGAAUCCAGCUUAAAUUUCUGGUAGUUCUCUGUGCAUAUACUGCUACAGCUGAUCUUCAGCAAAAAUGUACUUGGGUGUGAUAUUAAUGAUACCGUUCGAUAAUUUCUGCAUUCUGUUGGAUCACCUUUCUUGGGAAUAGGCAUAAAGAUGGUCGGCCAGGCAGCUGUCUUCCAAAUUUCUUGGCAUAGACAAGCGAGCACUUCCAGCACUGAAUCUGUUUGUUGAAGCAUCCCAGUUGAUAUUCUGUCCAUUCCUGGAGCCUUGUUUUUUGCCAGAGCCUUCAGUGCAGCUUGGACUCUCUCUCGGCUCUGGAGGAAGGUCCUUCUCCUCAAUCUUCCCAUGGACUGGGAGCUUCUUAGCACAGGAAGCCCGGAUCCAAAGCACCGUUUCUGCUCCCAGUGCUUCUUUCUUGGUGGCAUGAGGUCCCCAUUCUCUGCUGGCUUCCCUUUCUUUUUAUCUCUUGUAAAAAAGAGAAAAAAGGAUAAAAGGUGGUGCAGGCCAACUCCAGAGAAACUUCCUUUACACUGGAUCACGGAUAUGACCUUAGUAAGGGUGUUAUAAUCCCACCCUAAUCCUCUUUACCAUAAAAUUACAAUCACAAAGUAGAGGAUAACCACAAAAUACUGGGAAUCAUGGCCUAACCACGUUGACGCAUCUUUUGGGUGGACACAUUCAAUCCAUGACAUUCUGCCCAAUGGUCUCCAAAAAUUCAUGUCCUUGCUACAUGUAAGACACAUUCACCCUAUCACAUCACAUCACAGCAAAAGCCCUAAAUCAACUCCAAGUCCAAAAUCCACAAAUUCUUCUUUACCUGUGAAAUCUAGAAUACAAGUUUGUUUGCUUCCAAAGUACAAUGGCAAACCAGGCACAAACUAGAUAUUUCCAUUACAAAUGGGAGAAAUUGCAGGGAAAGUAGUGAUGACAGGAGUAAAGAAAGUCUAUAGAAUAUAUUCCAUUAGCCCUCAAGGCUGGAAAAUAAUCCUCUGUUCUCUGAGAGGAUUCACACAAUGGCCCUGCCCUCCAGACUCCAGGUAUUGGUCGCAUUCUCUGGAUUCUGAGUCGAGGCCCCUGGGCCCUGGGCUUUAGCUCCGACUUUCAGGCCCAGGCAAUAAGACUUACCAAAAUAAAAUUAAAAACAUACAUAAAUGGAUGGAAAAGGUAUAAUAUGCAAACACCAAACAAAAGAAUGUUCGACUUGCUUUGCUCAUACCAAAUAACAUAGGUUUCAGAGUAAAAGUAUAUUAGCAUAAACAGACGGAGAAUAAAAACAAUAAAAGGGUUAAUUCACCUAGAAAAUAUAAUAACCCUAUGGCAGCGGAUUUUUUUUUUCUUUUCUUGGUUUAAAAGUCUAUGUCUCUAUUACGAGAGAUUCAAAAUACAAUGAAAAAAAAAAAACUAAUGGGAGGAGGAGCCAAGAUGGCGGACUCGACAGACACAUCCUUGGCGCCCUCUUUACAACAAAGACCCGAAAAAACAAGUGAAAGAGUAUAUUUGUAACAAGCUGGGAGCCUUGAGCAUCAAAGGCAAGCUUAGACAACAAACUGAGGGGUAGGGGAAGGAAGGGACCUUUCAGAAGCGGAGAGGAGUUGCCGGCCCUGAAUCGUGGGGAGCCCUCAGGCACCAUUCCCGGAGCAGCAGAGGUGGCAGCGGCGGGUGGGUCCUAGCGUUUGGCCGCAGUCUCCUCGGGGAGAAGCAGCAGCCACACAGCCCACUCACACCUCCAGAACCUGAACAGAAGGGCACUCUCCGCAAAAGCUAAGUACUUGCGGAUAUUUUACUGAGCCCCCCCACCCCCACGCCAGCUACAGCGGCUGAAUCCCUAGGCCUGAGAUAGACCCUGGUGAGCACCUGGAGCCGUCCUCCUGGCCUUGGGGAAGGAAAAAAAAUGCAACUGGGGGGAAGAGGUAAUUUGCUAGCUCCAUUAACUGGGGAAUCUCAGGACAGAAGCGACUCCCGUCCAGGCAUAAACCGUCUGUGGACCUUGAGCACCUUUCCCUUCUUCAUGGACCUGUGUGGGCCUAUUUCGGGAGAAUAGGCCCUUGUUGGCAAAGUCCAAGCAUUUCAGCGGUGCCGUGGAGAGGUGGGCGUUUGAUGUUUGACAUUGCUUUGCCUAUUAAACAGGGUCCUCACCUACCCACAUCAGGGACCUGAGGACUGGUAGCUCCACUCAGGUCACCCAGCCACCCGCGACAGGGGUCCAAAGAUAACUGGUACCUCCCACUCCUUACAACCUGAAACUUUGGGUGCCCAUGGUCCGUCUGCAGGACCCACCCUCCAGCAUGCUCUAGGGAACAGAGAUGCGUUUUUCUCAGAGACACUUGGGGGUCAGUUCUUAGUCCCCUGCCUUGUUCAGAGCUUGAGCCUCUGCUGCAAUCAGAUACCGGUAUCUACGCCAAUCACCCCUGCCCCUCUAAGACUGCAGGACAGAGCCUGUACCACACACUUGAUGAUCAGCUACCUGGAAACCUGAGCUGAAUUCAUACAAGAAAACUGAAUGGACUCCUAGACUGAUAUACCUGAUAACACAUCUAGCCAGCUGGAGACAGGACACCAGAGUUCCAAAGCUGAAAACAAUCAAGUUAGCUCACUCAAGCAACCCAUAGCGGUAUACCAAAACAAAACAAAGCAAGCAGCUACGACACAGGAAGCAAGCAUAAACUAAGACAAUAACUUAUAGAUGGCUCGGAGACAACAGUCAAUAUCAAGUCAGGUAAAGAAACAGACCAUGAUCACCUCAACAGGCUCUCAGAACAAAGAAUCCAGGGAUCUUCUAGAUGAAAGUGCAUUCCUGGAAUUACCAGAUGCAGAAUACAAAAGUUUAAUACACAGAACACUUUAGGACAUCAGGAAGGAAAUGAGGUAAUACACAGAACGAGCCAAGGAACACACAGAUAAAGCAACUGAAGAAAUUAGAAAGAUUAUUCAGGAACAUUAUGAAAAGUUUUAUAAGCUGGGAAAAUCCAUAGACACACAACAAUAAGGAAUUCAGAAGAUUAACAAUAAAAUUACAGAUUUAGACAACUCCGUGGAAAGUCAGAGGAGCAGAAUUGAGCAAGUAGAAGCUAAAAUUUCUGAACUCGAAGUUAAAUCACUUGGCACUAAUAUAUUUGAAGAAAAAUCAGAUAAAAGAAUUGAGAAAAAUGAAGAAACCUUAAGAAUCAUGUAUGUGGGACUCUAUCAAGAGAAAUAAGCUACGAGUGAUUGGAGUACCAAACAGGGAGGGAUAACAGAAAAUAUAGAGAAAAUUGCUGAAGAUUUGUUGGCAGAAAACUUUCCAGAUGUUGUGAAAGAUGACAGGAUAUCUAUCCAAGAUGCUCAUCGAACUCCACGUAAGGUGGAUGUUAAAAGAAAGUCACCAAGCCAUAUUAUAAUCAAACUUGCCAAAACCAAAGAUGAAGAGAGAACUAUAAGAGCAGUGAGGGAUAAACAAAAAGUCACCUACAAAGACAGCCAAUAAGAAUAACCUCGGACUACUCGGCAGAAACCAUGCAGGCAAGAAGGCAAUGGGAUGAUAAAUUUAAAAAAUGGAAGGAAAAAAAUUGCCUGCAAACAAUCAUAUAUCCAGCAAAACUGUCUCUUAAAUAUGAAGGUAAAAUAAAGACAUUUCCAAAUAAACACAAGUUUAGGGAAUUCCUAAAAACCAAACCAAAACUACACGAAACACUAAAGGGAGUUCUUUGGUUAGAAAAUCAAUAAUAUCAGGUAUCAACCCAAGACUAGAACACUGGGCAGAGCACCCAGAAGUCAACCCAGACAGGGAAAUCCCCCCCCCAAAAACAAAGCAAGAUUAUUUUAAAAAAGCCUAAAACAGGGCAACAGCAAUGUUAUUAUAUAAAAGAAGACAGCAUUAAAAUAAUAAAGAGGGAUUAAGAAAUGUAAUCAUACACCUUCCAUAUGAAGAGGAAGGUACAACAAUGCAAAGAAGUAAAAGUUAGUCUUAAAUUUAGAAAAAUAGGGGUAAAUAAUACGGUAGCCACAAAGGAGACAAACUGUCCUACUCAUCAAAAUAAAAUACAAGGGAAAAAUACAGACUCAGCAGAAACAAUAUCAACAACAACAAAUAUGAGGAAAGGACAAUAUAGAAAGAUAAUCUACUCAGCAUAUAAAAUCAAGUGGGAAAAGAAACUAUGAACAGCACACAAAAAAAGACAUCAAAAUGAUAGUACUAAAUUCAUAAAAAAAAAAAAAACCUACCCAUAAUUACCCUGCAUGUAAAUGGACUAAAUGCACCAAUACAGAGACAGACAGUGGCAGGAUGGAUUGAAAAACAAGAUCCGUCUCUAUGCUGCCUACAAGAGACACACCUUAGACUUAGAGACACACUUAACAUCUACUCAAUGGUAGAAAACUGAAUUAUUUCUGGCAGGAGAGACUCUGAAACCUGCUCUUGAACAUACAGUAGCUACAACAAAAGGAAGAAAUGAUGAAAUAAAAGAACUGAACAGAAGAUUUCAAAGGGCGGUUUGAGACGACAAAGUAUUAUAAGGAAACUUGCAAAGACGAAGAGUUAGAAAAGCGCAAUAGAAGAACACGUUCGGCAUUUCUCAGGGUGAAAGAACUGAAGAAAAACUCAAGUCUCAAGUUCCAAUAUUGAAGGAUUCUAUGGGAAAAAUAUUAAACAAUGCAGGAAGCAUCGAAAGAAGAUGGAUGGAUGGCAUACAGAGUCACUGUUUCAAAAAGAAACAGCCAAUAUCCAAACGUUUCAGGAGGUAGCUAGGCUCAAGAACCUAUGGUACCGAAGGAAGAAGUCCAAGCUGCACUGAAGGCACCGGUGAAAAACAAGGCUCCAGGAACUGACAGAGUACCAGCUGAGAUGUGUCAAUGAACGGAUGCAGCACGGGAAGAGCUCGCUUGUCUAUGCCAAGGAAUUUGGAAGACAGCUACCUGGCCAACCAACUGGAAGAGAUCCACACUUGUGCCCAUUCCAAAGAAAGGCGAUCCAAUAGAAUGUAGAAAUUGUCCAAAAUAUCAUGAAUAUCACACACAGGUAAAAUUUUGCUGAAGAUCAUUCAAAAGCAGUUGCAGCAGUAUAGUGACAGGGAAUUGCCAGAAAUUCAAGCCCAGUUCUGAAGAGUGCGUGGAACGAGGGAUAUCGUUGCUGAUAUCAGAUGGAUCUUGGCUGAAAGCAGAGAAUGCCAAAAAGUCUUUUACCUGUGUUUUAUUGACUAUGCAAAGGCAUUUGACUGUGUGGUUCAUAACAAAUUAUGCACAAUCUUGUGAAGAAUGGGAAUUCCAGAACACUUAAUUGUGCUCAUGAGGAACCUGUGCUCAGACCAAGACGCAGUCAUUAGCACAGAACAAGGGGAUACUAUGAGGUUUUAAGUUGAGAAAGGUGUAUGUUAAGGUUGCAUCCUUUCACCAUAUUUAUUCAAUCUGUAUGGAGGAAAUAAUUCAAGAAGAUAAACUAUAAGAAGAAGAAAGCGGGUAUCAGGAUUGGAAGAAGACUCAUUAACAACCUGCAAUAGGCAGAGGACACAACUUCUCUUGCUGAAAGUGAAGAGGACGUGAAGCAGUCACUGAAGAAAAUCAAUGACCACAGCCUUCACUAUGAAUUACACCACAACACAAAGAAAACAAAAAAUCCUCACAUAUGGAUUAAUAAGCAACAUCAUGGUCGAUGGAGAGAAGAUUGAAGUUGUCAAGGAUGUCUUUAUACUUGGACCCACAAUCCACGCCCAUGGAAGUAGCAGCGAAGAAAUCAAUGACAUAUUGCAUUGGGCAAAUGUACUGCGAAAGCCAUCUUUAAAGUGUUAAAAACCAAAAAUGUCACUUUAAGGACUAAGGUGCGCCUGACCCAGGCCAUGGUAUUUUCAAUCGUCUCAUAUGCAUGCAAAACCUGGAAAAUGAAUGAGGAAGACUGGAGAGGAAUUGAUGCCUUCGAAUUAAGGUCUUGGCCAAGAAUAUUGAAUAUACCAUGGACUGCCACAAGAACGAACAAAUCUGUCUUGGAAGAAGUACAGCCAGAAUGCUCCUUAGAAGGAAGGAUGGUGAGAUUUUCUUACGCACUUUGGACAUGUUAUCAGGAGGCACUGGUCCCUCGAGAAGGACAUCUUGCGUGGUAAAGUAAAGGGUUGGUGAAAAGAGAGAGACCUUUAAGAAGAUGGGUUGACACACUGAGUGCAAUACUAGUCUCAAAGAUAGCAGCCUUUGUGAGGAUGGCGCAGGAUCGGCAGUGUUUCCAUCUGUACAAAGGGGCGCCGUGAGUCAGAAUCCACUGGAUAGCACAUAACAACAAAAACACAAGUAGAUGAGUUGAACUGGGGGAAUCACCACCCUGCAUCCUUCAAGUCUUUGAUGGUGGCAGUUAUCUCUAUAAUUCCUCCAGGAAUGCGGUACUGCUUUUGGUUUACUAUUUUCCUAGAUAGGCAGUUCUAAUGGUUUCCCCUUGGCUUUUCCUACCAUAAUAGCCCUUACUCCACUUGUCUGGAAUCCACAAAGGUAGUUCUGCAAGUUGUUGGGUAUUCCAAUUCCAAUUAUGUGUUUAGGAACUGGGGAAAUCACUACGUGAUGGAUUCAGGGACCCACUGAAUCCACUGUGAAAUGAACCAGAGCUAUGGCUCCAUUAAGAACCUGACUUCCGUACAACCGCUUUCUGACCGGUGGGCCACAGUGACAUCUAGGGUCUCCUGGAUUCAGUGUCAGUUCAGAGGCAGUAUCCAGUAAUUCUUACGCUUGUACAGAUCAAGUAACUACUCGAUAGACUUCCCAUCUAUUUCACUCCUAGGGACACCAUGACUAAGUAGCCAAUGCCAUGAGUCCAUAGGAGUCAGGCUACUCUCAUUACUGCUUUGACUCCACUGUCCAUUAUGUGAACCACACCUACCUUGUUCUUGUCCAUUGAGUCACCCGCAUGGCCCCUAACACCGUGGGGUCCAAUCAGCCCCAUUGUAGUUUGGUGUCUUAAUUCAGUUAGGGCAUCUCCCAUUGUGAGAUCUGACUUCCAUAAAAGAACAAUCACAGCAGUCUUCAAGGAUGCUGGGGCUCCCUUCACAAAUUUAUUCCUCACCAUUGCGGUAAAAGGUGUGUCCUCUGAGCAUUCCAUGUGUGGGUCUGUGGGUCUAAGCCGAGAAAUCCACUCUAACAUGCCAGUUUCCCUAAGCCUUUGGAUACCUUCUUCUACUGUGAAAUCAAGGCGGGUCUGGCACUUCAGCUGGGUUUAGUGUGGGCCACCGCUUAAUCUGUGCUUCACUGAAUCAGUCACAUAAACUAUUAAAUCCUUUCCUAAGCUCUCUAGCUGAAACACUGGAUGAAGGAUCUGUGCUUAGUGGACCCAUAUCAAUGAACUCAGGCUGAGGCAACUUUAUGUUCCUUGCACCAUUAUCCCACACCCAUAAUAGCAAUUCCCACACGUAGUCUCCAGGCUUUUGUUUGUAUGUAUUAGAAAAGUCAAGCAGUUCUUUUUCUUUUGGAGUGUAGUGUACCUCCCCCUGGAUCACAUUUUGUGCUUUACCUUUGAGGAUAGCAGGGACUUCAGUCUAGUUAUAGGCCUAGAAGCAACAAUGGGUGUUGGGAAUGUGUCUGGAGAACAUUCAGCAAUGUCUUGUAAGACAUCUGCCUUAAGGGAUGAUGCCCCAGGCAGUGACUCAGACAUCACCCUAGUGGACGACUGAGACAAAGGCUCUUCAGACACAACUGGGUUAAUCUCAGCAGAUGGGGGUCUGAGGGGCUAACAGUUUUCCUGGGGAGGGUGGUUUAGCAGCCAAACAUGGAGUAAUCCCUUCAGGCGGGAGCUGCUAUUUGGUGAUGGCCUUGCUAUUCCUCAAUGAAACUCAUUUUCUUUCACUCCUAAUAGAGUGUGGGAUUUUGUUCUUCAACAACACAAACAAACAGAAAACAUGACCAGAGCCUUUGCAGCAGCAAAUUAGCUAGGAGAAGAUUAUAAUGUAAUGCUUUCAAGUUCUGAUUUAAAGUAGAAUUCUAACCCAGACAAAAUGUGAGGGCAAUCAAGGCAUUUCCAGACAAGUAAGUAAGAACUUAAACAUCUACUUGCAAGGCAUGCACCUUGAGGAAACUGUUGGAGAAAGGAAAUCAGCACAAAGGACUGAUGAGAAAAAAAAAAAAAAAAAAAGACUGUUUAGGCAUAGAAAAUAAAAACAGGCAUCUGAUCUGUCUGUAAAGAGACUAAAGUAACUCUAAGCGCUCAAUGUAGUCUUUCACCUUAGGUUUGGCGUUGGCUGUCUAGCAGCUCCAGGUAAGCUUUCCCCCAGGUUCUACCCUCCUUCCCUAGGAAUCAACCCAUCACCAUGAAGGAAAUGAGUUGCUUUGCGGAUCAAGCUAAAGAAUGUGAAGACUUAAGGCAAACUUUUGGUAUCAGCCUCCUCAGGUUUCUGACAUGCCCAGCAAAGUGAGAGAUCAUGGAAACUCCUUGUUUCCAUUCUCAUCUGGAGAGCUAACAUUCUGAGCAACGUGAUUGUUAACCAACCAGUCUUGAGAAUAUCCGUCCUGUGGCUGCUUUGUAACCAAGGUGAAACCCCCUUGACCUCCUGUCUUUCAAUUGUGUCUUGUAGCCAGUCAAUCGGCUCACGUAAGCAAUAAUGACAACGAUUGUGCUUUACUUGUCGCGUCUUUGAUUGACCUUCGUCACUGUGAACCAACAAGAAAAACUGUAAUUUUAUUCUCCCCCUUCAGCACUCUGAUUACUCCUGAUUUGCCUUCUUCCCGUGAGAUUCCGGAACGUCAGCCUGAGACUUUGCGAUCUCCCACUGCCACGUCUCCGCUGCAAUAAAUCUCUUUCGAUUUUACCUUAAGGGAGCUGGGAAGUCUUUUCUCUCCAACAUUUUGGCGUAGUUAAUCGGCAGGGUUUUUGGAGUUACCCUUCCCCCGGAGACCCGAAGACCUGAAACACGGGAUUCCGGCACCAAGGGCCCCUUUGUGUGCCCCUCGCUGCAGCUUUUUCGGACCCUUCUGGCUGUCUGGGGGGAGAAGGGAGCAGAGAGACUGGAGGACUUCAUUACCACCAAGCAGAAGAGCCAGGAGCAUUUGCUUUGAACCAGGGGCCCCUGCACUGAGAAGCUGCUAGAUCUGGGGAAGACUGAUGACAAGGACCUUCUCCCAGAGCCAACAGAGAGAGAAAGACUUUCCUAGGAGCUGACGCCCUGAAUUCAGACUUCUAGUCUCCUAGACUGUGAGAGAAUAAAUUACUCUUUGUAAAAGCCA
Long non-coding RNA from Loxodonta africana (African savanna elephant), 19796 nucleotides. RefSeq lists it as uncharacterized. Lineage: Eukaryota; Metazoa; Chordata; Mammalia; Proboscidea; Elephantidae. The record is from RefSeq and is a predicted model, not a curated record. The transcript is spliced from 3 exons.